AAAAAGCCGUCUCCAUGGAAGCGGCCCUUCCGCUCGGAGCCCGGCGGCCUGGAGGGAGACCCGGCGGGGAUGCGAGGAUUCCGCCCCAGCCCCAGAGGACGCGGCGGAGAGCCUGGAGGAGGCGCUUUGAGAGUCGAGGUCUCCCGCCCGCGCGCCUCCCUGGCGCAGACCUCUUUUAACUUUUUGGCGUGGAGUGCGCGUCCUGACGUGCCCCCUGAGCUACAGCUUACUGAGCUUUACUGGCUUCGCCGGACAGCCGUCCCCAGGUGGAGAGACAGCGCGUCGCGCGCUGCCCGGGCCCCGCAGGGCCUGGCGCCUGGGGCCCUUGCGCCGCUUUGGGGCGAGGGGAUCACACCGCGGGCUCCCGGAGCUUAGCGUCUUCCACGCGGCGCUGUGUGUCAUCCACGCAGUGUGCUCUCGCUGCCGUGUUCAGGUCACUGCGAGGGUGAGCCCCGCUUUAUCUACCCCUUCUGCUGUUGAUGGGCACUCGUCUGGGGCUAGAAGGGAUAAGGUUGCUGUGAGCGUUCUCGUGUGUUUUUGGUGCACGCGCACACACAUUUCUCUGGGGUGCAGACCUGUCUAGUAGUGGAACUGCCGUUUCCCAGCACUUUGGAGCAAAGCCCUGUUGCAGUCUGAAGCGGAAAAGGCAGACGGGCCUUCCAUGUUCGUGAUUCCAGCCAGGCACAGAAGGGAAGGACAGGGACAGCAGCCGCGCGGAGGCGAGGAGGGACACUGGGCGCUGCUGUCCCCUCUCAGGGGCAGCCACUCCUCUUGUGGACGCAGGUGUGGUCACCAGAAGGGAAGGACAGCAGAGGACUCUUCAGGGACCUUCCUGGAUCCCCCUGCAAUGGGAGUGGCCUACUUGCUUGACUUGAGGGUGAGACUUGGUCAGCCCUUGACUGUAGGGGGCAGGACCAUGGGCUUCAGUGGGGCAGCACCCAUGACCCACGCCUCUGCUUCCAUUCCCUGCUUACUGCCCGGGCCUCUGGGCAGGGGAGUCUAGUCUCCCUUCCCAGGCUUCCAAUGCCUCGCCCCCUGCUGUGGUAAGGAUUCGCGCUGGUCCCUAUUUAUUAAUCAGGGAACUUGGGGUUCCAGUUUUCUCCCCUUCUCUGCAUCUCAUCCCCUUGAGAGCCCCCUGGAGCAGAGGAUAACGCACGAGGGGACUGGCUGUGUAUAUUUUGAUAACAAUAUCAAAAUACUGUCAAAUACUAAACGGAAAAGAAAUAGGAAAACAUUGAACUUUAUUAAAAUGAACUUCAAAAGACACCAUUAAGAGUAAAAAGAUGACUCACAAAAAAGUUGCCUUUUGUUCAGUAAACGACUCAGGACCAGAAAAUAUGAAGACCCCUACAACAAGAAAAAUAUAGAUAGCUCAGUUAAAAAUUGACAAAAGACUUGAAAAGAUAUUUCACAAAAGGAGAGAUCCAGACAGUCAAUCCACACACGAAAGGGUACUUAGCAUCAGGGAACUGCAAAUAGUGACAUUCGAUUCCAUAUCACAGCCACUGGAUGGCUAAAAUAGCAACGCCAAGUGCUGAUGAGACUGUGGAACAACCAGCUGGGCUCUCAUACCCUGCUGAUGGGAGAGUGGAUUGGAGCAACCACGUGGAAACAUCUAAUGGAGGCUCUCCUGAGAUGGCAAACAGGAGGUCUGGAUCAAUCCUACAGUGUCGGCAAAUGUCUGGAUUACCCUGCAAGGUAAAGAAAGCCUGCACAUAUGGGGCCUCAGACCAUCUGUCCUCAUAUCUACAGAAAAGAUCCAGCUGCUGGAUGGUAUUGAAAUGAAUUGUUCCUUCCUGAAGC
RNAcentral lists this long non-coding RNA (1803 nucleotides) under Homo sapiens (human). RNAcentral's name for it is "HSALNT0059971". Lineage: Eukaryota; Metazoa; Chordata; Mammalia; Primates; Hominidae. The record is from RNAcentral.